Molecule: small RNA, 2260 nt
Filed under: Pongo abelii (Sumatran orangutan)
Lineage: Eukaryota; Metazoa; Chordata; Mammalia; Primates; Hominidae
Description: processed transcript
Source: RNAcentral
AGUCUGCCCAGGGACUUAGCGACAGACAGACGCUGGGACCCACGACGACAGAAGGCGCCGAUGGCCGCGCCUGCUGAACCCUGCGCGGGGCAGGGGGUCUGGAAUCAGACAGAGCCUGAACCUGCUGCCACCAGCCUGCUGAGCCUGUGCUUCCUGAGAACAGCAGGGGUCUGGGUGCCCCCCAUGUACCUCUGGGUCCUUGGUCCCAUCUACCUCCUCUUCAUCCACCACCAUGGCCGGGGCUACCUCCGGAUGUCCCCACUCUUCAAAGCCAAGAUGGUAGCUGCCAUCCCUGGGAGUCUGGAACCAGGCAAUGUGCUUGGAUUCGCCCUCAUAGUCCUGUGUACCUCCAGUGUGGCUGUCGCUCUUUGGAAAAUCCAACAGGGAACGCCUGAGGCCCCAGAAUUCCUCAUUCAUCCUACUGUGUGGCUCACCACGAUGAGCUUCGCAGUGUUCCUGAUUCACACGGAGAGGAAAAAGGGAGUCCAGUCAUCUGGAGUGCUAUUUGGUUACUGGCUUCUCUGCUUUGUCUUGCCAGCUACCAACGCUGCCAAGCAGGCCUCCGGAGCGGGCUUCCAGAGCGACCCUGUCCGCCACCUGUCCACCUACCUAUGCCUGUCUCUGGUGGUGGCACAGUUUGUGCUGUCCUGCCUGGCAGAUCAACCCCCCUUCUUCCCUGAAGACCCCCAGCAGUCUAACCUCUGUCCAGAGGCUGGGGCAUCCUUCCCCUCCAAAGCCAUGUUCUGGUGGGUUUCUGGGCUGGUCUGGAGGGGAUACAGGAGGCCACUGAGACCAAAAGACCUCUGGUCGCUUGGGAGAGAAAACUCCUCAGAAGAACUUGUUUCCCGGCUUGAAAAGGAGUGGAUAAGGAACCGCAGUGCAGCCCAGAGGCACACCAAGGCAACAGCAUUUAAAAGGAAAGGCGGCAGUGGCAUGAAGGUUCCAGAGACCGAGCCCUUCCUACGGCAAGAAGGGAGCCAGUGGGGCCCACUGCUGAAGGCCAUCUGGCAGGUGUUCCAUUCUACCUUCCUCCUGGGGACCCUCAGCCUCGUCAUCAGUGAUGUCUUCAGGUUCACUGUCCCCAAGCUGCUCAGCCUUUUCCUGGAGUUUAUUGGUGAUCCCAAGCCUCCAGCCUGGAAGGGCUACCUCCUCGCCAUGCUGAUGUUCCUCUCGGCCUGCCUGCAAACGCUGUUUGAGCAGCAGAACAUGUACAGGCUCAAGGUGCUACAGAUGAGGCUGCGGUCGGCCAUCACUGGCCUGGUGUACAGAAAGGUCCUGGCUCUGUCUAGUGGCUCCAGAAAGGCCAGUGCGGUGGGUGACGUGGUCAACCUGGUGUCCGUGGACGUGCAGCGGCUGACCGAGAGCGUCCUCUACCUCAACGGGCUGUGGCUGCCUCUUGUCUGGAUCGUGGUCUGCUUCGUCUAUCUCUGGCAGCUCCUGGGGCCCUCCGCCCUCACUGCCAUCGCUGUCUUCCUGAGCCUCCUCCCUCUGAAUUUCUUCAUCACCAAGAAGAGGAACCACCAUCAGGAAGAGCAAAUGAGGCAGAAGGACUCACGGGCACGGCUCACCAGCUCCAUCCUCAGGAACUCGAAGACCAUCAAGUUCCAUGGCUGGGAGGGAGCCUUUCUGGACAGAGUCCUGGGCAUCCGAGGCCAGGAGCUGGGCGCCUUGCGGACGUCUGGCCUCCUCUUCUCUGUGUCGCUGGUGUCCUUCCAAGUGUCUACAUUUCUGGUCGCACUGGUGGUGUUUGCUGUCCACACUCUGGUGGCCGAGAAUGCUAUGGAUGCAGAGAAAGCCUUUGUGACUCUCACGGUUCUCAACAUCCUCAACAAGGCCCAGGCUUUCCUGCCCUUCUCCAUCCACUCCCUCGUCCAGGCCCGGGUGUCCUUUGACCGUCUGGUCACCUUCCUCUGCCUGGAAGAAGUUGACCCUGGUGCCGUGGACUCAAGUUCCUCUGGAAGUGCUGCCGGGAAGGAUUGCAUCACCAUACACAGUGCCACCUUCGCCUGGUCCCAGGAAAGCCCUCCCUGCCUCCACAGAGUCUUGCUCUGUUGCACAGGCUGGAGUGUAGUGCUGCAGUCCCGGCUCACUGCAACCUCCGCCUCCCACGUUCAAGCGAUUCUCACACCUCAGCCUCCUGAGUAGCUGGAAUUACAGGCGCAUGCCACCACACCUGGCUAAUUUUUAUAUUUUUAGUAGAGACAGGGUUUCACCAUGUUGGCCAGGCUGGUCUCAAACUCCGGACCUCAGGUGAUCUCCC